RNAcentral lists this transfer RNA (70 nucleotides) under Heterocephalus glaber (naked mole-rat). It matches the Rfam family "tRNA". From Rfam's summary of the family: Transfer RNA (tRNA) molecules are approximately 80 nucleotides in length. Their secondary structure includes four short double-helical elements and three loops (D, anti-codon, and T loops). The record is from Rfam by way of RNAcentral. Lineage: Eukaryota; Metazoa; Chordata; Mammalia; Rodentia; Bathyergidae.
UGGGGUGCAGCUCAGUGGUAGAGCACACACUUAACAUGUGAGGCCCUGGGUUCAAUUCCCAACAUCAAAA